AUGCCCACUUGUGGGUGGAUUAGUGGCGAACGGGUGAGUAACACGUGAGUAACCUGCCCUUAACUCUGGGAUAAGCCUGGGAAACUGGGUCUAAUACCGGAUAUGACUCCUCAUCGCAUGGUGGGGGGUGGAAAGCUUUAUUGUGGUUUUGGAUGGACUCGCGGCCUAUCAGCUUGUUGGUGAGGUAAUGGCUCACCAAGGCGACGACGGGUAGCCGGCCUGAGAGGGUGACCGGCCACACUGGGACUGAGACACGGCCCAGACUCCUACGGGAGGCAGCAGUGGGGAAUAUUGCACAAUGGGCGAAAGCCUGAUGCAGCGACGCCGCGUGAGGGAUGACGGCCUUCGGGUUGUAAACCUCUUUCAGUAGGGAAGAAGCGAAAGUGACGGUACCUGCAGAAGAAGCGCCGGCUAACUACGUGCCAGCAGCCGCGGUAAUACGUAGGGCGCAAGCGUUAUCCGGAAUUAUUGGGCGUAAAGAGCUCGUAGGCGGUUUGUCGCGUCUGCCGUGAAAGUCCGGGGCUCAACUCCGGAUCUGCGGUGGGUACGGGCAGACUAGAGUGAUGUAGGGGAGACUGGAAUUCCUGGUGUAGCGGUGAAAUGCGCAGAUAUCAGGAGGAACACCGAUGGCGAAGGCAGGUCUCUGGGCAUUAACUGACGCUGAGGAGCGAAAGCAUGGGGAGCGAACAGGAUUAGAUACCCUGGUAGUCCAUGCCGUAAACGUUGGGCACUAGGUGUGGGGGACAUUCCACGUUUUCCGCGCC
This 764-nucleotide ribosomal RNA is filed under the name Arthrobacter oryzae. RNAcentral's name for it is "bacterial SSU rRNA". It matches the Rfam family "Bacterial small subunit ribosomal RNA", at positions 72 to 847 of the family's 1533-position model. The record is from RNAcentral. Lineage: Bacteria; Bacillati; Actinomycetota; Actinomycetes; Micrococcales; Micrococcaceae.